AUAGCAAAAUUGAAAACCAUAUUAAAACAAAAACGGCAAAACUAUAAUAACCUUGGCACAAGCGUGUUUCACUGGAGCGUGAGGAGGGGGAUCCGCCAGAUGAGGUGCUGGAAAACCCUUCCCAGUCUCCAGAGAUGUCAAAUCUGCAGGAGCACAACGGAGCUGUCGCUCAAACUCGAGGGAGAAAGUCAAGGAUCGCGCCGACGGGCCCCUGUAAUCAUCCCCACCUUUCACCCCACUAGCGACGGCCCUGGUACUAUGCAUAAUACAGACAGUCCUGGCUCUGCCCAUCAUCACGUUCAUGCAGACGCAGACGUGUUCAGUGAGAGGUGUGUAGCAAAGUUAGGAACGCCAUAAAUUGGGACAGCCCACGCAGAGACGCCGUGACGUAAUCGCACUUCAAAUAGAGCUUCGAGGUGCGCCGCAGCUAAAGCAAGCUGUAUCUGGUCCAGAGCCUGAGUAUAUAGUUUAGUCUUGCGCUGUGAGAGUGAGAGUAUGUCUGCUGCUGUGACUCUAGCGCUGCUGUUCUUCUUGUCUGUGGCACUGAACGAACAGGUGACCGAGGGCUGCACAUGUUUACCAAAACACCCUCAACAGCAGUUCUGCGCGUCUGAUAUAGGACCUGUCGAGGACGGCAGGGUCAUUCUUGAUUUAUGUGACCGUGUGGAACCUUGGAACCAACUCUCCCGAGUUCAAAAGAUGUACCUCAGCAUGUAUCAGAGAGGCUGUGUCUGUGAGAUCUCGCCCUGUACUGGAGCGUCCUGUUUGAUUGAGAUGCUUCAGAAAAAAUGUCUGAUGAGAGUCAAUAAUUCAUUCAUUCUUGAUGAUGAAGAGGCUCUUCAGUCUAUUUGCCUGCCAGGCAGUGGUGGCUUCUGCAGAUGGCGAAAAUUUCUUAAGUAACUACAAAAGCUCCUAAAAAUGAUGCCCUGAAGAACAAGUGCAUCAGCCAUUCGUCGGUGUGCAUUUUUGCCCUUUUGUUCUCCAGAAUGCUUAGAACAUUUUGAAAUGAAUUUAAACAAUUUAAUGAAGCUUUGCAAUGCAGUCAGCAAAUACAUACAAAACACUGUUUUCAUGGAGAUAUGCAAUCAACCAUUAAACUAUUUUGCAUGUAAAAGCGUCUGUGUGUAUUUAAUGGAAAAUUGUAAGCAUUUAUAUAUAUUUGGAUGUUCUUGGUGCCAAUGCCUUAUGUCAAAAGCAUUCAUCUAGUAUUGUUUUUUGCUUUUCUGUUCUGAUGAACAUUGAGUUAAAGGACAUUUUAAUUAAAAAAAACGGCAAUAACAAACCGCAACGUUUAAGGUUUAUUCCACAGAACCACAGCCACAUCAGACAGCAGGAAAAGUCUACUUCACUAG
This 1352-nucleotide long non-coding RNA is filed under the name Sinocyclocheilus anshuiensis. Its description in RNAcentral is "lncRNA (ENSSANG00000001127.1)". Lineage: Eukaryota; Metazoa; Chordata; Actinopteri; Cypriniformes; Cyprinidae. The record is from RNAcentral.